CAGCAGCCGCGGGAAUACGUAGGGUGCAAGCGUUAAUCGGAAUUACUGGGCGUAAAGCGUGCGCAGGCGGUUCGGAAAGAAAGAUGUGAAAUCCCAGGGCUCAACCUUGGAACUGCAUUUUUAACUACCGGACUAGAGUAUGUCAGAGGGAGGUGGAAUUCCACGUGUAGCAGUGAAAUGCGUAGAUAUGUGGAGGAACACCGAUGGCGAAGGCAGCCUCCUGGGAUAAUACUGACGCUCAUGCACGAAAGCGUGGGGAGCAAACAGGAUUAGAUACCCCGGUAGUCCCUGUCUCUUAUAC
Molecule: ribosomal RNA, 301 nt
Filed under: uncultured bacterium
Lineage: Bacteria
Description: partial 16S ribosomal RNA
Rfam family: Bacterial small subunit ribosomal RNA
Source: RNAcentral